CCUACGGGUGGCUGCAGUGGGGAAUAUUGGACAAUGGGCGAAAGCCUGAUCCAGCCAUGCCGCGUGUGUGAAGAAGGCCUUCGGGUUGUAAAGCACUUUCAGUGGGGAAGAAAGCCUUGGGGCUAAUACCCUCGAGGAAGGACAUCACCCACAGAAGAAGCACCGGCUAACUCCGUGCCAGCCGCCGCGGUAAUACGGAGGGUGCGAGCGUUAAUCGGAAUUACUGGGCGUAAAGCGCGCGUAGGCGGUCUGAUAAGCCGGUUGUGAAAGCCCCGGGCUCAACCUGGGAACGGCAUCCGGAACUGUCAGGCUAGAGUGCAGGAGAGGAAGGUAGAAUUCCCGGUGUAGCGGUGAAAUGCGUAGAGAUCGGGAGGAAUACCAGUGGCGAAGGCGGCCUUCUGGACUGACACUGACGCUGAGGUGCGAAAGCGUGGGUAGCAAACAGGAUUAGAUACCCCAGUAGUC
This 465-nucleotide ribosomal RNA is filed under the name Vreelandella stevensii. RNAcentral's name for it is "partial 16S ribosomal RNA". It matches the Rfam family "Bacterial small subunit ribosomal RNA", at positions 338 to 795 of the family's 1533-position model. Lineage: Bacteria; Pseudomonadati; Pseudomonadota; Gammaproteobacteria; Oceanospirillales; Halomonadaceae. The record is from RNAcentral.